Molecule: ribosomal RNA, 368 nt
Filed under: uncultured organism
Description: bacterial SSU rRNA
Rfam family: Bacterial small subunit ribosomal RNA
Source: RNAcentral
CGGAGGGUGCAAGCGUUAUCCGGAUUCACUGGGUUUAAAGGGUGCGUAGGCGGGCUGAUAAGUCAGUGGUGAAAGCUCCGAGCUUAACUUGGAAACUGCCAUUGAUACUGCCAGUCUUGAAUGUCGUAGAGGUAAGCGGAAUGUUGCAUGUAGCGGUGAAAUGCUUAGAUAUGUUACAGAACACCAAUUGCGAAGGCAGCUUACUAUGCGAUGAUUGACGCUGAGGCACGAAAGCGUGGGGAGCAAACAGGAUUAGAUACCCUGGUAGUCCACGCCCUAAACGAUGAUUACUCGAUGUUGGCGAUACACUGUCAGCGUCUUAGCGAAAGCGUUAAGUAAUCCACCUGGGGAGUACGCUCGCAAGAGUG